GCCUUCGUGGUGUAGUGGUCAGCCCGCUCGACGCGUAACCGAGAGGUCCGUGGUUCGAUUCCCGGCGAAGGAC
RNAcentral lists this transfer RNA (73 nucleotides) under Stegodyphus mimosarum. It matches the Rfam family "tRNA". From Rfam's summary of the family: Transfer RNA (tRNA) molecules are approximately 80 nucleotides in length. Their secondary structure includes four short double-helical elements and three loops (D, anti-codon, and T loops). The record is from Rfam by way of RNAcentral. Lineage: Eukaryota; Metazoa; Arthropoda; Arachnida; Araneae; Eresidae.